This 675-nucleotide ribosomal RNA is filed under the name Pseudomonadota bacterium. RNAcentral describes it as "bacterial SSU rRNA". It matches the Rfam family "Bacterial small subunit ribosomal RNA", at positions 51 to 724 of the family's 1533-position model. The record is from RNAcentral. Lineage: Bacteria; Pseudomonadati; Pseudomonadota.
ACACAUGCAAGUCGAACGGUAGAGGCGGCAACCCCUUGAGAGUGGCGAACGGGUGAGUAAUAUAUCGGAACGUGCCCAGUCGUGGGGGAUAACGUAGUGAAACUUACGCUAAUACCGCAUACGAUCUAAGGAUGAAAGCGGGGGAUCGCAAGACCUCGCGCGACUGGAGCGGCCGAUAUCAGAUUAGGUAGUUGGUAGGGUAAAGGCCUACCAAGCCAACGAUCUGUAGCUGGUCUGAGAGGACGACCAGCCACACUGGAACUGAGACACGGUCCAGACUCCUACGGGAGGCAGCAGUGGGGAAUUUUGGACAAUGGGCGAAAGCUCUGAUCCAGCCAUUCCGCGUGCAGGAUGAAGGCCCUCGGGUUGUAAACUGCUCUUGUACAGAACGAAAAGGUCUCUAUUAAUACUAGGGGCUCAUGACGGUACUGUAAGAAUAAGCACCGGCUAACUACGUGCCAGCAGCCGCGGUAAUACGUAGGGUGCAAGCGUUAAUCGGAAUUACUGGGCGUAAAGCGUGCGCAGGCGGUUAUAUAAGUCAGAUGUGAAAUCCCCGGGCUCAACCUCGGAACUGCAUUUGAGACUGUAUAGCUAGAGUACGGUAGAGGGGGAUGGAAUUCCGCGUGUAGCAGUGAAAUGCGUAGAUAUGCGGAGGAACACCGAUGGCGAAGGCAA